GAUAAUGUGAGAGAAGUUGGCUUCAUCCAUAUUUGUUACAAUCAAUCCAAAAGCCUUCUUUUCACGACGUUUGAACUCCUUCUUCUCCUUCAUAUCAGCAUCUUUGCUUGGAGCCUCUUCACUUUCAUCUACAAUAUCCCAAAGAUCCAAAGAUGCCAACAAAAGCUUCAUUUUGACCUUCCAAUGGUAGAAAUUUUUACCUCUAAACUUCUCAAUAACUUUCAAGCCUUCACCUUCACUUGAAGCCAUGUCUAAGGUAGAGUUAUAUCAACAAAGGUUGUAAGAAGAAGUCCUAAUGCUCUUAAAAUCAUCCAGAAGUUUUUGCUGCCUUAGAAUCACAGAAUCCUUCUUUGUGAACAAACUAGUAUUUUUAUUCUCAAAAAAUACUCUCAACUUCACUUCUAAGGCUUCUUACAAGUCUGGUGACCUUUCCAAAUCUAAAUUGUCACUCUAAUAUCUCUCU
This 463-nucleotide long non-coding RNA is filed under the name Physcomitrium patens. RNAcentral's name for it is "long non-coding RNA (PPAT_LNC007639)". Lineage: Eukaryota; Viridiplantae; Streptophyta; Bryopsida; Funariales; Funariaceae. The record is from RNAcentral.